GACGAACGCUGGCGGCGUGCUUAACACAUGCAAGUCGAACGGCAACGCCCUGCUUUUGUGGGGUGCUCGAGUGGCGAUCGGGUGAGUAACACGUGAGUAACCUGCCCUUGUCUUUGGGAUAACUUCAGGUAACUGGGGUUACUACAGGAUCGCAGCCCCUGUUGCAUGGUGGGGGUUGGAACGUCUCGGCGGUUGGGGAUGGACUAGCGGCUUAUCAGCUUGUUGGUGGGGUAGUGGCUGACCCAGGCUUUGACGGGUAGCCGGCCUGUGUGGGUGGCCGGGCUCAAGGGGACUGAGAUACGGCCCAGACGCCAACGGGAGGCAGCGGGGGGGAAUAUUACACAGUGGGCGGGAGCGUGAGGCAGCAACGCCGCGGGCGGGAUGACGGCUUUCUGGGUAUAAACCGCUGCCGCCUGUGACGAAGCGGGAGUGACGGUAAUGAGUAAAGAAGCACCGGCUAACUACGUG
Molecule: ribosomal RNA, 468 nt
Filed under: uncultured bacterium
Lineage: Bacteria
Description: partial 16S ribosomal RNA
Rfam family: Bacterial small subunit ribosomal RNA
Source: RNAcentral